RNAcentral lists this ribosomal RNA (492 nucleotides) under uncultured bacterium. Its description in RNAcentral is "partial 16S ribosomal RNA". It matches the Rfam family "Bacterial small subunit ribosomal RNA", at positions 29 to 507 of the family's 1533-position model. The record is from RNAcentral.
AGUGAACGCUGGCGGUAGGCCUAACACAUGCAAGUCGAACGGCAGCACAGUAAGAGCUUGCCCUUACGGGUGGCGAGUGGCGGACGGGUGAGGAAUACAUCGGAAUCUACUUUUUCGUGGGGGAUAACGUAGGGAAACUUACGCUAAUACCGCAUACGACCUACGGGUGAAAGCAGGGGAUCUUCGGACCUUGCGCGAUUGAAUGAGCCGAUGUCGGAUUAGCUAGUUGGCGGGGUAAAGGCCCACCAAGGCGACGAUCCGUAGCUGGUCUGAGAGGAUGAUCAGCCACACUGGAACUGAGACACGGUCCAGACUCCUACGGGAGGCAGCAGUGGGGAAUAUUGGACAAUGGGCGCAAGCCUGAUCCAGCCAUACCGCGUGGGUGAAGAAGGCCUUCGGGUUGUAAAGCCCUUUUGUUGGGAAAGAAAAGUAGCAGGUUAAUACCCCGCUGUUCUGACGGUACCCAAAGAAUAAGCACCGGCUAACUUCGUG